This is a non-coding RNA of Danio rerio (zebrafish), 441 nucleotides long. The record is from Ensembl. NCBI's taxonomy places the organism in Eukaryota, Metazoa, Chordata, Actinopteri, Cypriniformes, Danionidae.
GACGUACAGUCGAUAACUAUAAACAUAGUUUGAGAGCAGUUAGUGUGUAUGUUAGAUAAAGGUGGUUUCAAAGCACCUUUAUAUAUUACAAAUAACAGCAUGUUUAAACGCUUUUCGUUACAAACCAGCAGCCCGAUGUCCGCAGAAGCUCAGCCGAGGGUGAGUGACUCUGCACGGGCAGCUGCAGGAAAGACCACCCGCUCAACAGGAUUGGAGGCUUCUCCUACAGCAGCAGCUAUGGAGAACAGCCCAACUGAUAAACAAGCAAAAAGGUGGAAGAAAGGGAUCCGUGCAUUCUUUCGGCGAAUAGGGAAGGGGCUCAAGCGUUGCACCCUCUGUUGGCCUGGAGAGAACAUGUUGAUCCCAUUUCCAUGCAGCGAUCCCAAUGAACCCCAGCCAGAAUUAUCUGGCCUCCAAUGGGCAUUAUCAAUCGAUCCGUGC